GACGAACGCUGGCGGCGUGCCUAAUACAUGCAAGUCGAACGCUGAAGAGAGGAGCUUGUUCUUACUGGAUGAGUUGCGAACGGGUGAGUAACGCGUAGGUAACCUGCCUUGUAGCGGGGGAUAACUAUUGGAAACGAUAGCUAAUACCGCAUAACAAUGGAUGACACAAGUUAUCUAUUUGAAAGGGGCAAUUGCUCCACUACAAGAUGGACCUGCGUUGUAUUAGCUAGUAGGUGAGGUAAUGGCUCACCUAGGCGAUGAUACAUAGCCGACCUGAGAGGGUGAUCGGCCACGCUGGGACUGGGACACGGCCCAGACUCCUACGGGAGGCAGCAGUAGGGAAUCUUCGGCAAGGGGGGCAACCCUGACCGAGCAACGCCGCGUGAGUGAAGAAGGUUUUCGGAUCGUAAAGAUCUGUUGGAAGUCAAGAACGUGUGUGAGAGUGGAAAGUUCACACAGUGACGGUAGCUUACCAGAAAGGGACGGCUAACUACGUG
This 497-nucleotide ribosomal RNA is filed under the name uncultured bacterium. RNAcentral describes it as "partial 16S ribosomal RNA". It matches the Rfam family "Bacterial small subunit ribosomal RNA", at positions 28 to 507 of the family's 1533-position model. The record is from RNAcentral.